Molecule: long non-coding RNA, 406 nt
Organism: Asparagus officinalis (garden asparagus)
Lineage: Eukaryota; Viridiplantae; Streptophyta; Magnoliopsida; Asparagales; Asparagaceae
Exons: 2
Source: RefSeq, a predicted model, not a curated record
UUAAGCUAGGGUUUCCCCAAAGCUUCAAUAUUUUCCGGUGGAUAAUUCGCUCUUCGGUGAUUUUUCAAGAGUCCAGAAGAGUUAGGGUUUUCAACGUCGUUCUCGGCACCGGAGGAUGUCUUUCUCUCUACUUCUCUUGCGAGUUAUUUUGACAGUCUGAAAAAGGUUUCUGCCAGAACCACAAGAUUGCAGGAAAGGAGGAGGAAGAAGAUGGCUGGUUUGAGGCUAGAUGCGGGGCUCAAGGUUGCUGCUGGAGAUGAUGACAGAAGCUCAGGGGUAGUCAUUCAGCUGGAAUGAUUCCUGUUGAUAAAAAAUUUUGUGAUAGUUGUUUUUUGAGCUAAAAAACUAUAGUAGUUUCUAUAUCUCCUUUUUGUGACAUUCUAGUCAGUUUUGGGUUGUUCUCUAA